Molecule: ribosomal RNA, 855 nt
Filed under: uncultured bacterium
Lineage: Bacteria
Description: bacterial SSU rRNA
Rfam family: Bacterial small subunit ribosomal RNA
Source: RNAcentral
AGUCGAGCGAUGAUUCGUCUCCUUCGGGAGACGUUGAUUAGCGGCGGACGGGUGAGUAACACGUGGGUAACCUGCCUCAAAGAGGGGAAUAGCCUCCCGAAAGGGAGAUUAAUACCGCAUAAUAUGUUUUAAUCGCAUGAUUAAAAUAUCAAAGGAUUUUCUUCGGAAAUUCCACUUUGAGAUGGACCCGCGGCGCAUUAGCUAGUUGGUGAGGUAACGGCUCACAAAGGCAACGAUGCGUAGCCGACCUGAGAGGGUGAUCGGCCACAUUGGAACUGAGACACGGUCCAGACUCCUACGGGAGGCAGCAGUGGGGAAUAUUGCGCAAUGGGGGAAACCCUGACGCAGCAACGCCGCGUGAAUGAUGAAGGCCUUCGGGUUGUAAAGUUCUGUCUUCUGGGACGAUAAUGACGGUACCAGAGGAGGAAGCCACGGCUAACUACGUGCCAGCAGCCGCGGUAAUACGUAGGUGGCAAGCGUUGUCCGGAUUUACUGGGCGUAAAGGAUGCGUAGGCGGACAUUUAAGUCAGAUGUGAAAUACCCGAGCUUAACUUGGGUGCUGCAUUUGAAACUGGGUGUCUAGAGUGCAGGAGAGGUAAGUGGAAUUCCUAGUGUAGCGGUGAAAUGCGUAGAGAUUAGGAAGAACACCAGUGGCGAAGGCGACUUACUGGACUGUAACUGACGCUGAGGCAUGAAAGCGUGGGGAGCAAACAGGAUUAGAUACCCUGGUAGUCCACGCCGUANACGAUGAAUACUAGGUGUCNGGGGUCGAACCUCGGUGCCGCCGUUAACACAUUAAGUAUUCCGCCUGGGGAGUACGAUCGCAAGAUUAAAACUCAAAGGAAUUGACGGGGG